Molecule: long non-coding RNA, 550 nt
Filed under: Homo sapiens (human)
Lineage: Eukaryota; Metazoa; Chordata; Mammalia; Primates; Hominidae
Description: HSALNT0398577
Source: RNAcentral
UUUGAAUCCCCACCCUGCGGACCCCGCGCGCCUCGCCUUCUCCCUCUGGUUGGCGAGCGCCUUUCUGCGCCUUCAGGCAUUUUUGCUGAGGCUUUUGUCUGCGCAUGUGCGGCAGUGAGAUCUCAGCCAGGCCAGAAAAAGCUGCCAUGCCAAAAGCGGCCGACACUAACUCCACGCGGUGCUCCUGGAAACGUCGGGCUCCCAGCUCCCAUGAGGCAGAAAACGGGCAUCUAUUCUUUUAACAUACCAAAUAUUUGAGCACUUACCACGCGUCGGGCACUGAUUUACAGCACAGAGUGAAACUAAGUCCCUGCCCUUGCCUUGCUGAGCUUGCAUUCCAUCUUGGAAGGAGGAACAGACAAUAAUUAGCAAAAGUACAAUGACUGGUAAGUGACAAAUGCCAUCAAGAAAUUUGAGCACCUUUAGAAGGCAGCGAAAGGGAGGGUGGGAUGACUGUUUAAUAGGUCAUCCAGGGAAUUUCAAGACCGGCCUGGCCAACAUAGCGAAACCCUGUCUCUACCACAAAUACAAAAAUUAGCCGGGCGUGGUG